This 253-nucleotide ribosomal RNA is filed under the name uncultured bacterium. RNAcentral's name for it is "partial 16S ribosomal RNA". It matches the Rfam family "Bacterial small subunit ribosomal RNA", at positions 524 to 776 of the family's 1533-position model. The record is from RNAcentral. RNAcentral also lists the same sequence under 1 other name.
UACGAGGGGGGCAAGCGUUGUUCGGAAUUAUUGGGCGUAAAGGGAGCGUAGGCGGUUUUGUAAGUCGUGUGUGAAAUCUUCGGGCUCAACCCGAAGUCUGCACACGAAACUGCAGGGCUUGAGUAUGGGAGAGGUGAGUGGAAUUCCUGGUGUAGCGGUGAAAUGCGUAGAUAUCAGGAGGAACACCUGUGGCGAAAGCGGCUCACUGGACCAUUACUGACGCUGAGGCUCGAAAGCUAGGGGAGCAAACAGG